Molecule: long non-coding RNA, 1250 nt
Filed under: Ananas comosus (pineapple)
Lineage: Eukaryota; Viridiplantae; Streptophyta; Magnoliopsida; Poales; Bromeliaceae
Description: long non-coding RNA (ACOM_LNC021139)
Source: RNAcentral
UACAACUCCUUGAUCCAACGGCUGAUAUAAACUUGGUUUAAAAAAAAAAAAAACCAGUGUUAACCUCACUCCCACAUUUUAUCCCCUCACGUUUUCCCUCUUUUGCCCUAAAUUUUGGCGCCAGCGUGCUAAAGAGAGAGAGAGGCGUGCGCGGUAGCGUGAGAGAGAGAGGCGAGCGAGCGAGGCAGCGAGCUAAAGAGAGAGAGGUGAGCGAGCGAGCGACCGAGAGAGAGAGGAGAGCUCGAGCGUGAGCAGGGCGCGAGAGAGAGCGAGGGCAUGGCGCGAGAGGGAGCGAGAGGAGUUGUGCUCUGCUAGAAACAGGGAGAACGAGAGGAAGAGAAAGAAGCGCGAAGGUGGAUUCUGCGAUCAAAUUGGACGCGGCAAGUACGGAGGCGACAAUCGAGCAUGCGGAAAAAUUGAANAUAGAAAUUUUAAAAAAAUGCCCUGUUUGAGUUGAAUCAUCUGUUUCGGUUGUGGCCGAAUUAGCUCCGAAAUCGUUCCCAAUUUCGGACGCUCACGACUGAAGGAAUGCGUCACAGGUACUGGGAUGGACAGGGGAGCAGUUGAGAGGCGACCUCCUACCAAUGGAGAAAGGCGAGGUCGAGAGACACCUUCGAGACGGCUUCGGACACAAGAUGUGUGGAACGAGCGCUGCCGAACUUCUGCCCGAUGGAGUGGAGUGCCCUGCGAGCGAGAGCGAGAGAAAGAGAAAGGGGAGAGCGCGAGAUAACGAGAGGCGAGGGAGCGAGAGAAAGCGAGGAAGCGAGAGAGAGUGAGAAACAGAGAUAGCGAGAGGAGCUGUGCGGGAGAGAGAAGUGUAGUAGGGUUUAAUUUAAGUUAGCUUUAGCAAGAAGUAAAAAAGGUGUGAGGUUAGAAGCUACUGUGCUAGUGGGUUAAUAUCAGCCAUUGGAUCUGAUAGUUGUAGGAUAUACACCUUCCUAUAGGAGUACAGGUAGACUUUUCCUAAUAUUUUUAGGGUUAAUUGCAUACAGCUCCCUUUAAAUAUAUCGAAUAGUAGAUAUAUCCCUAUAAAAUUCAAGUUUUUAUAUUUAUUCUCGUAAAAAUCCUAACAUUUUCAAAUAUAUCGCUGUUGUUGGAUCCAUUAGAAAAAUAUAGUUAACCAUAUGUAACAUACUUAACCCUAAUUAACGAAUGAGAUAAAUUUAUCUUUUCACUCAUCUUAUAUUAUUUGUGAUGGCAGAAAAGAUGAAAAUAACAGUUGGAGAUUUUUAAGAGGACUUCUCUGUAUA